CCUUAUCAAUUACAUAAUUUUGCAACUAUCAUUUAUUCAUAAAGCUAGUUAACAAUCGAUUUUGAUUAAAGAAAUAAUUAUUAAGGCUUUUGCAAGUGCAUAAUUAAUAAAUAAAGUCCCAAGGCCAUGUCACUGAAGCUAUCGCAGUGUACACAAGAUGGCUGACCAUCACUGUAAUAAAUGCGAACCUCUAUAAGAAGAACGUAAAAUUAUUAUAAAAUUCACAUAUGCACCAGCGAUGAAAUAUUACUUAAGGUAGAAUAUUCACUGACGAUAUUAAUUACAAACGUCUAAAGCCUUCAAGGUUAGCUCAUCGAAAUUAUUACAAGUGCUAAAAUUCAAGAGCGGCGAAUCACUAAGGUGAUCACCACUGUAAUAGAUGGGAACCCCUAUUUAAAAUAUGUGCAAAUAUUAUAACGCUUGAAUAAUGAAAUAUUACGCGCAACUAAAUAUUCAUUAAUAACACACUUGCGAAGGUUUAAAAAAUAUGAAAGUUACAUACACUGGAACCCCGCGUUAGCGGACUGUUCGGGGCUUUGGUCCGCUAACGCGGGGUUAUCUCCUAUUGCUUGGUUUCACUCCCACUCCGUGAAAUACGUGACUGCAUUGCUCAUUGCUAUCCCCACACACGCUACUCAUGUGGGCCGAGUGCAUAUGGAGGGGAUAGUUUCCGCUAACGCGGAGUACGCUAACGCGGGGUUCCAGUGUAUA
Molecule: long non-coding RNA, 711 nt
Organism: Monomorium pharaonis (pharaoh ant)
Lineage: Eukaryota; Metazoa; Arthropoda; Insecta; Hymenoptera; Formicidae
Exons: 2
Source: RefSeq, a predicted model, not a curated record